This 319-nucleotide ribosomal RNA is filed under the name uncultured Prevotella sp. Its description in RNAcentral is "bacterial SSU rRNA". It matches the Rfam family "Bacterial small subunit ribosomal RNA", at positions 28 to 339 of the family's 1533-position model. The record is from RNAcentral. Lineage: Bacteria; Pseudomonadati; Bacteroidota; Bacteroidia; Bacteroidales; Prevotellaceae.
GAUGAACGCUAGCUACAGGCUUAACACAUGCAAGUCGAGGGCAGCAUGAAGUUUGCUUGCAAACUUUGAUGGCGACCGACGCACGGGUGAGUAACGCGUAUCCAACCUUCCCCAUAGUAGGGAAUAGCCCGGCGAAAGUCGGAUUAAUGCCCUAUGUUGUAUUAUGAGGACAUCUGAGUAAUACCAAAGAUUUAUCGCUAUGGGAUGGGGAUGCGUCUGAUUAGCUUGUUGGCGGGGUAACGGCCCACCAAGGCUACGAUCAGUAGGGGUUCUGAGAGGAAGGUCCCCCACAUUGGAACUGAGACACGGUCCAAACUCC